Molecule: microRNA precursor, 84 nt
Organism: Chlorocebus sabaeus (green monkey)
Lineage: Eukaryota; Metazoa; Chordata; Mammalia; Primates; Cercopithecidae
Source: Ensembl
GGUGUGGAAUCUUGCUGCAUCCACGAGACCACGUUCAACUCCAUCAUGAAGUGUGACGUGGACAUCCGCAAAGACCUGUACACC